This is an RNA transcript of Spinacia oleracea (spinach), 2557 nucleotides long. It is a transcript of the gene named alcohol-forming fatty acyl-CoA reductase-like, with no coding region annotated. The record is from RefSeq and is a predicted model, not a curated record. NCBI's taxonomy places the organism in Eukaryota, Viridiplantae, Streptophyta, Magnoliopsida, Caryophyllales, Amaranthaceae. The transcript has 6 exons.
UUCACUUUUAUAAUCCCAAAUUAAAUUCAAUUAGCUGUUCUUUAUAUUGAGUUAUUUUGAUUAUAUCAUGGAUUUUGAAAGCAUAACUGAGUUUCUUGCUAACAAAACCAUCUUCGUUACUGGUGCAACUGGUUUCAUUGCCAAGAGUACGUACAUACUCGAUUUCCUUGUCGAUCUUUCUUUUAAUUGAUUAUUGGAGUACUUACAGUACGUUAUACGUACACAUGUUUUCUCUGUUCUAACGUAGUAUAUCAUAUAUGUCCUCGUACCAUUGAUUAAAUAAAUUGCAGUUCUAGUGGAGAAGAUACUUCGGAUUCAACCAAAUGUUAACAAAUUAUACCUUCUUGUAAGGGCUAGAGAUGCUCAGGCAGCCCAUGUUCGGCUACAACAUGAGGUAAUUGUUAUUCGGAUGGAACACUACAAGAGGGGGGGUGAAUUGUAGUAUGGAACUUUCUAGCCAAUUUUGCGGAAUUAUAAAGAAACUUUAAGCAAGUAGAGAAACAAUGCAAGAGAGAUUUUACGAGGAAACUUUCUACGCCCAACUAGAAAGAAAACCUCGACCCACUAGAGAUUUCAACUUAAACUCUUUUCACUAUAGGGCAACAACUCAGUUACAAACCUAUAAGGAACUCGGGCAUUACUUGAGUUCCUCUACGAACUCAAGUUCCAAUAGUUGUUCCUCAAACAACUACGCUCUCACUGACUUCCCUAGAAGUCUCUCUUGACUCUUUUGCUUCACUCAAAGCCUAUCAGCUUCUCUCUCAUAGACUUCACUCAAAGCCUCCCCAAAUACAACAGGAACUCACUCAAGUUCCUACCCCAUACACAUCAGGAACUCACUCAAGUUCCUGCCACUAGUGGAAAAACAAUCAUUUGCAUCACCACAUUUGCCUCGCACAUUUAAACAUGUGACGCAAUUGACAGUUCUAAGCUUUAAAAUUAGUCAUUUGCGUCGCAGAAUUAUUAAUCUGCGACGCAAAUGACUCUAAAAUGUUCUCAGAGUCAUUUGCGUCGCAGAUUAGUAAUAAUGCGACGCAAAAUAUUACCUCCUUUGCGUCGCAGAAUUACUAAUCUGCGACGCAAAUGACUCUUUAAGUCACCUGCGUCGCAGAUUAGUAAUUCUGCGACGCAGAGGAGGUAAAAAAAAUUCGGAAGUUUUUAAUUAUUCCUUCUCCCCUCUUUUUCUCUCUCUUCUUCUUUCCAGAACUCCAUUCAUGAGAUGUCAAUACCUCUCAAUCUUUCAUUCAUUUGAAAUCUCCUCUAACCACUAUACGUAUUUUGCCUUUAAUUUACCCGGAAAAAUCAAGAUUUGCGAAAACACGGCUCGAAGAGAAAAAUCCUAGAUUCCGCCGCGAAGAAGGAGACAUUUCAAAGCAGUGCAGCUCGAUUGCUAGCGAGUCUCCGAUCCAAUUCUGCGAAUUAGUUCGUCGGCGAUUUAGGUACAGCGCAAUUUAUGUUAAUUAGGGUUCUUGUUUAUCAGCCUACGGUGUAUAGAAGAUUUCAAGGGUUCUUGUUUAUCAGCCUAUUUCUAGGGUUUUUAAGGUUGGGUGAAACGCCAAACCGUUGGAGCUGGAUCUUCGGUUAACGUCGCCGCCGUCAUUGAUUACCUUAUUUCUUAGAUGGUGCCUGAUAUUGUAGAGGGUGAUGGGUUUGUUGGGAGGCAGCCUCAUAUCAAGUAUGAGCUCAGAGAUAGUCCUGGUCUUGGAGGAUACAACCAAUGUGUAUUCUUCAACUGCAGUUAUAGUAGUUCGGAUACUCCACUGAGUGAGGGUCAGUGCCAUUGGUUUUCUCCCAAGGGUUCUACUUUGCUUAAAGCGGGCUCUAAAAAUCGCAAAUGCCGCUCAACAGAUGGCUAAUGCUACUCGGGGUAGUGGUGGUUUAGUUAUGCUGUUCAUUGAAAUCAUCAAUAAGUAUCUCUAUUUUUUUGAGAAGGGAAACAACCAAAUCACCGUCAAUACAAUCCAGGAUCUAAUGGAAUUAAUUACUACAGAGAUGCAAAGUGAUAAUGCGGCAACAGAUUCUGCUGCUGAAGCUUUCUUUGCAAGCACAUUGCGGUACAUCCAAUUCCAGAAACAAAAAGGUGGCGCAGUUAGUGAGAAAUAUGAACCUAAUGUUAGUUUUUUUGUUGAUCUGGGAGAACUGAAAAGUUAAAACUUGAGAAAGGGAAACAAACUCGGUAACAAUUGCUCUUCAAUCCGCUAAACUUGUGAGAAUUGUCGCCUUUGAUCUUGCUCUUGGGACUCUUGAAUGGUUCCCUCAUUUGUCUUUGAAUACGCUGACGCUGACGCUGCGUGCUACGUGUGUCAUGGGAAGUUGCUUAUCCAAGCAUGAUCUCAACUCUCAAAUUGAUUUGGUAAUUGAAAUUUUGAAGCGUCCAGGAGAAGUCCUCCCUGUUUGUCUUAGUGUCGCACGAACGCUGUAAAUUCAUAAUUUAGUGUGCUUCAAUUUUAAUUUCUCGGCUUUUUUUUUCUCGGUUCAAAUUUUUAUUUUUAUUUCAUAUUGUAAUUUGUUUGAUUUUGGUCUGACAAUGGAGUUUUUUUCAUCUGCUUGAAUGAUA